Hypanus sabinus (Atlantic stingray) is the source of this 216-nucleotide long non-coding RNA. RefSeq lists it as uncharacterized. The record is from RefSeq and is a predicted model, not a curated record. The transcript has 3 exons. NCBI's taxonomy places the organism in Eukaryota, Metazoa, Chordata, Chondrichthyes, Myliobatiformes, Dasyatidae.
GCUCGAAUUGCUCUGAAACUCGAUGCAGUGGUCAGUGGAUGGAUGACGGAAACCUUGCAGAAGGAUGGUACAGAUUUAGCAGUCAUGGCAAUGUGAAGAUUCCCGAAACCUCGGUUCCAUUCUUUCACUGCUCUACAUGGAGUCCAGGCUGGUUAAAAGAUCCCCAUCCUGAUGUGGGAGCAGGCGAAGUGACCAGGACCAUCUGUUUCAACUGGG